RNAcentral lists this ribosomal RNA (20 nucleotides) under Honigbergiella ruminantium. RNAcentral's name for it is "partial 28S-like ribosomal RNA". RNAcentral also lists the same sequence under 1 other name. Lineage: Eukaryota; Parabasalia; Honigbergiellida; Honigbergiellidae. The record is from RNAcentral.
UCCAGGUUCUGGUGCAAGUA